UAUAUUAGUGUCACCACACAAGUGGUUGUGAGGUCAACCAUCCUUAUUUCUGAGCAUAUAUAGGACAUGCUAGUCUUACCGUAUCAUUAAUCUCCGACUUAAUGUAUCAAUGACUAAAAAUAUUUUAGAUCAGGGCUAUCAAAAAUUUAGGUCUCACUGGCAUGAUCUUAUCACGGUCCUAAAACUAUUGCCUAGACGUAUGAGAUUUAUUAUAAUCUUAAAAUUAAUAAGAUGCAGCAUAUAAUGAAUCAAAAAUAUCAAUUUUAUUAAUAAUAUUAAUAUCAAUUACAUGAGAUUGGAAAAUAAAUUACAAUAAACAUGCUAUCAUAUCCCAUAUAAGAUUGGCAUGUAGGGCAUAAUUCUUUCAAUCUCCCACUUGCACUAAAGCCAAUAACCCCUAUACUUGAUACCCAUGCUAUUAAGG
RNAcentral lists this long non-coding RNA (424 nucleotides) under Elaeis guineensis (African oil palm). RNAcentral's name for it is "long non-coding RNA (EGUI_LNC046039)". Lineage: Eukaryota; Viridiplantae; Streptophyta; Magnoliopsida; Arecales; Arecaceae. The record is from RNAcentral.